UGCAAAUAACUUUUCUCGUUCAGGUCCUG
RNAcentral lists this small RNA (29 nucleotides) under Bombyx mori (domestic silkworm). RNAcentral's name for it is "ovarian small RNA-33277". The record is from RNAcentral. Lineage: Eukaryota; Metazoa; Arthropoda; Insecta; Lepidoptera; Bombycidae.